CCGCACAGCAUACCUCGAGGGUCGGCGGCUAGGCAACACACCGGUCAGUUAAUGGCCGCCCGCCGGCCAGUUCCGGCCGCUCCUGACCGGCGCGUGGAGGUUGGUUUGUAGAAACGCCGACAGGAUUUCACUUGUGAUUUUCAAGUCAGGACAUACACAAGGACGACACCAUGAAGUUGUCCGGAGUGUUGCUCGCUACGCUCGUGUGUGCACUGCUAGUGCUACCGGGACUGUAUGGAGAGGGAUACGGAGAGGGCUAUGGACAGGGAUAUGGGCAGGGAUAUGGGUACGGGUACGGGCAAGACUACAUUCCAGUACCCUUACCCGUUCCCCGCGGUGGCGGCGGUCUGAGCGGCUUUCUACCCCUCAUCGGCCUGCUAGUCUUGCUAGGCUUGCUAUUUAACGGUAACAACCGGGGUAGUAUCAAUCUCGUCAACACGACACUUGGAUAAAUUAUAACGAGCGUGGCUGUCUGGUUGUCAUGGUCUUCGCGCUCUAUGUCUCGAGUUUGCUGGUCAGGGCUACAGUGUGUGCAUUUCAUGUAUAGUUGUAUGCGUC
Long non-coding RNA from Dreissena polymorpha, 558 nucleotides. RefSeq lists it as uncharacterized. The transcript is spliced from 4 exons. NCBI's taxonomy places the organism in Eukaryota, Metazoa, Mollusca, Bivalvia, Myida, Dreissenidae. The record is from RefSeq and is a predicted model, not a curated record.